UGGUGGAGUGAUUUGUCUGGUUAAUUCCGUUAACGAACGAGACCUUAGCCUGCUAAAUAGUUGGGAGAAACCUCGGUUUCUUGCUAGCUUCUUAGAGGGACUUCGUGUGUUUAACACGAGGAAGUUUGAGGCAAUAACA
Molecule: ribosomal RNA, 139 nt
Filed under: uncultured eukaryote
Lineage: Eukaryota
Description: partial 18S ribosomal RNA
Rfam family: Eukaryotic small subunit ribosomal RNA
Source: RNAcentral